GUUACUACCCAUGGAUCCAUAUUUCUCCCAUGUUAGAUUCCCAAAUUCUGAUAUUUGGAUUUCACUUUUCAACCAUGCACAAUGUUGAGACAUCUUCCUCCCCCUAUUCUUGUUUAAAUCUGGGUGUUGAUUUUAAUCCCAACACAUAACUUGUGUACAUAGGUUGGUUACCACCCACAAGUUGGCUCGUCUACAUCGUUAA
RNAcentral lists this long non-coding RNA (202 nucleotides) under Olea europaea (common olive). RNAcentral describes it as "long non-coding RNA (OEUR_LNC010911)". Lineage: Eukaryota; Viridiplantae; Streptophyta; Magnoliopsida; Lamiales; Oleaceae. The record is from RNAcentral.